AAUAAAACAGCAAUGCACAGUGGUGAUAAUGUUUGCGAAAUGUCUCCCACGUGAACAGUUUAGCGGGGAGAGAGAGAGAGAGAGAAGAGGGAGGGUGAUUAAAGAGGGGGGGAUGAGGAGGGGAAGUGGGUGAGGGGGAGAGAGGGAGCACUGGGAGGGAGGGGAGAAGGGGUAUCGGAAGGGGUAAGGAAGGGGUGAAGGAAGGGGGUAAGUAGGGGAAGGAGGAAGGGGGAAGGGUAGAGAGGAGGAAAUGGGAGGGGGUAAGGGAGGAAAUGAAGGGGAGGGGGAGGAGGAAGGGGGGUACCACACUAUCUUCCCUUCACUAAUAAUAAUAAUAAUAAUAAUAAUAAUAAUAAUAAUAAUAAUAAUAUACUAAUUUCUACAUACGAUAGGUAGGUUAUUUUUUAGAGUCCAGUAACACCAAUCAAUGAAAUUUUUAGUGUUUUCUAAAGAUACCGUUUUGUUAAGUGUAAUUCUAAGUAAAUUUAAACUACUACUAAACGAAGCUUUCUCCUAACGUGUCUAGGCUUUUCGUUGAAUACGUCCAAUAUCACUAACAUUACAUUACAUAAAACUAUACUUUUACUUUAACCUAUCAUCUUUUUAUUUUUUAUUUGUUUUUUCAUUAUCACCACUCUUUCAUCCCUUACACUGGUACACUCUGCAACAGCCUUCCUUCGUCUGUAUUUCCUCCUGCCUAUGACUUGACUUUCUCUCCACCCGAAAUUGACCUCUCUUCUGGCCACUCUUUAUUUUUGUCCAUUAUGGGAGCGGUGAGUAGCGGGCUUUUUUCUCUACACUCUUUUUGUUGCCCUUGAGCCGUCUCCUUUGCUGUAACAAAUAAAAAUAAAAAAUUGCUAGGUUUCCCUUUCAGUAUUUUCAGAAUUAAUAAUAGAAUGACUAGACUUUUCGUUAAGUAAGUCCAAUUAUCGCGCAUUAUUAAACUACAUAAAACUAUACCUUUCUCAACCUAUAAUGAUUUUUUGCAUAAUCACGACUAUGCUAGGCUAUAAUCAUUAGUAAGAUAUGACGGCACGAUGAACUGGGUUUGUUAUAAUUCUUUUCUUCUGCAUCAUCAUCACGGUCAGACCAUUCUUCUGGUAUGUUCAGUAUAAUGAUUAAGGUAUAAUGAUAUAACGAACUAUAAUGAUCUAUAUAACUUUUUUUCCUCAUUUUCCUUUCUUCCUUCCUUCGUUUCUAUUCCCAUUCUUUCGGUAUGUUCAGUAUAAUGAUUAAAAGGUAUAGCGAUAUAACGAACUAAUGAUUCAUAUAACUUUUUUUUCUACCUUUGUUUCACCUUCAUUUUCCUUUCUUCCUUCCUUCGUUUCUUUUCCACAAAUUUCCCUUCUAAUUUCUUUCUGACAGUCCUAUAAUUUUACCUCUGUCUUUUUUCCCUGAAGUAUAAUUAUCAAACUAGGCUUUUAAUUUCAAUAUUUUCAGGAUUAUCAAAACAUGUCGGUAUGGCGAGCUAGGCUGAACUUCAGUAAAUAAUUAUGUAUGUUCUGUACGUUAUGUGAGUAUGUCCAAUGCCACAAAGAAACGAAAAAAAAAAUAACUAGCAUUCUGAAGCCAAGAAUACUACUUUUUAUCGACGCCCAGCCCACCCCGCUGCUUGAUCUUUAUUUAUAUGAGUUUUUUUUAAUGUGUUAGUUAUCUUCAUUAUUAAUCUCCUAAGCACGCCGAAACAUUACCACAAAUCUAAGGUUGAAAGUUAAAAGGAAUAUGCUAGAUUCAGAACAUCAACAGGUGGAAAAGGUUAGCAAUGAAUUUAUGGUGACCAUCUCGCGCGUGAUUAACCCGGUAGCAGCGACGGGCCAAAUUUGUGCCAUGAUAUAAACCCCCCAAAAUUGAUGAUGCAUAAACUGAUCACAAAUGCCUUGAUAUAUAUUAUGAAAUGUUUUGUGUGAGUGAUGAUUUUUUCUAAUUUUUCUCGCUUAGAGGUACCAUUAAGAAACAUGAUUCCCGCUGCUACCAGGUUAAGACAGGCAUAACUUGAAAAGCGGCAUAACUCGAAAAGUAGACAUUUGCGACGGAAAUGAGGUACAAAAUCGUGGAAUUCACUACAUCUAUCACCAGAAACACAUAAACCACGUGAGAAAAUCGUUGGUUGGGUGAAACUGUAAAUUGUCCGUUACGUUAAGUUAGGUUAGGUUAGGUUACGUUUGAUCAGGUUAGGUUAGGUUAGGUUACGUUAAGUUAGGUUAGGUUAGGUAAGGUUUGAUCAGGUUAGGUCAAGUUAGGCCACGUUAGAUUUAUUAAGUCUGUUUACGAUAAAUACGUGUGACACGCUUCGGGCUGUGCCAAAGUAGGCUAAACGUGACCUAUUCCCCGGAGAAACACGUACUUUAUAAUCAACUCUUAAAAUCAAGCCAAGGACACACUGAUCAGAAUAAGAAGCAAUGCAAAGAACAGAAAUAUGGAUUGACAAUAGGCUACACUUGACCUAUUCCCCGGAGAAACACGUAUUUUCUAAUCAACUCUUAAAAUCAAGCCAAGGACACACUGACCAGAAUAAGAAGCAAUGCAAAGAACAGAAAUAUGGAUUGACAAAUUUACAAGAAUACGCAAGAUUUAAACAUUAUCUUAAAUCACGGUAAAUGGUGAAACACGUACUUUUCAAUCAACUCUUAAAAUCAAGCCAAGGACACACCGACCAGAACAAAAAGCGAUGCAAAGAACAGAAAUAUGGAUUGACAAAUUUACAAGAAUACGUUAGAUUUGAACAUUAUCUUAAAUCACGGUAUAUGGAGAAACACGUGCAGCCUUGCUAACAUGAAUCAACCCAAGGCCACACAAAACAAAGCAAUAAGCAACACAGACAACACCUACCAGACAGCAACACUUCAUAACACACCAAACACUCAUUUUUUCCCCUCAAACCAAUUCGGCGGAAAACUCGAACCCCCCAGCUGCCAACCUCCCCUUCGCAUUUUCCUCCAUUACUCGGCUAUUACACAUCACCACCAACUUCCCAAUUGUUUUCUUGACCUUACAGACGACUGCCAUCACUGACCUUUAUUCCGUAGGUCCAAACUCCGUGAGAAUGAUCCAACACACGGCAGGAGGCACUGACUGACAUACAUACUCUCACUGCACUGAGCUUAUCGUAACAUUGGCUGACGCAGUGUUGCCACCUUGAAACAUUAUCAGUACCGCUAGGUACAAAGGCAACGUGCUGCGCUCUGCACAUUCUUUUUUUUUUCAGUUAGCCAAUUUUUCAAGUCUGGACCACUGAGCCACUCUUCUCUAAACUUUUGAGUGCAUUGUGGCUAAGGAAUAAUGAAUAGUUUCACUAAAUGACGAAUAUCAAGCAAAUGAAAAUGAUGAGUGUAAGCACAGAGGGCGGUAAACUGAAGUGUAGGCCUACUGAGUAUGAACUUAGGAAGGCGACUAGGCAAAGGUGAAUACUCAUGACGCGUCUUGUACAAGUCAAAACACAGAAAGAAGGGACGAGGGAGGGAAGGGGCAGUAUUGCCAAGUGCCGGUCUAUUAUUUUCUGCAUUUUUGCCAGUAAAAUAUCUUGAGAUUAAAUAAAAUAUUUGUAUAUAUAU
Long non-coding RNA from Eriocheir sinensis (Chinese mitten crab), 3551 nucleotides. RefSeq lists it as uncharacterized. The transcript has 3 exons. The record is from RefSeq and is a predicted model, not a curated record. NCBI's taxonomy places the organism in Eukaryota, Metazoa, Arthropoda, Malacostraca, Decapoda, Varunidae.